Molecule: small nuclear RNA, 114 nt
Filed under: Zea mays
Lineage: Eukaryota; Viridiplantae; Streptophyta; Magnoliopsida; Poales; Poaceae
Description: U2 spliceosomal RNA
Rfam family: U2 spliceosomal RNA
About the family: U2 is a small nuclear RNA (snRNA) component of the spliceosome (involved in pre-mRNA splicing). Complementary binding between U2 snRNA (in an area lying towards the 5' end but 3' to hairpin I) and the branchpoint sequence (BPS) of the intron results the bulging out of an unpaired adenosine, on the BPS, which initiates a nucleophilic attack at the intronic 5' splice site, thus starting the first of two transesterification reactions that mediate splicing.
Source: Rfam by way of RNAcentral
CUCAUUUUCUCGGUCUUUUGGCUAAGGUCAUGUGUAAUAUUUACCAGUUCAAUAUCUAGUAUAUGAACAAUAUGUUCACUUUGACAUUAAAUUCAUUUAUUAUGGGUAUUUUUA